GCCAAUCCAGCAGAGUUGAUCGCAUAGGAGCAUCGCUUCAAUGCUAGUGGUCUUUGCUUCUUCCAGCAUGCUGACAUUUGUCCACUUUUCUUCCCAAGAGAUUUGCAGGAUUUUUCGGAGACAACGCUGAUGGAAUCGUUCCAGGAGUUGAGUGUGGCAUCUGUAGACAGUCCAUGUUUUGCAGGCAUAUAACAGGAUUGGGAGGACAAUAGCUUUAUAAACAAACACCUUGGUAUCACUAUGGUUGUCCUAAUCCUCAAACACGCUCUACUAUAGUCGGAAAAAUGCUGCACUCGCAGAGUUCAGCUACAGAGGCAGAAGAAGAAGACAUUGAAAGAUUCUAUGCUGGAGUCCAGAAGAAAAUUAACCAAACACCAAAGACAAUUGGACAAUAAAUGUAGGAAAUAGAGCAGAAUCAAUGUAAGAACAUUUGGCCUAGGAUAAAGAAAUGAAGCAGGAGAAAGGUAGGCUGAAUUUGGCAAGGCCAAGAGUUUGUUAAUUGCAGACACAUUAUUAUUAAAUCUCCAUAAAGGUGACUGUGUACAUGGACUUCAUCUGAUAGCCAAUAUAGGAAUCCAAUAGACUGUAGCUCUGCAUGUAUUCAAAUGUAAUCUCAAUGAGUUCGGCAUGCUUUAUUACCCAGAAAUUUACUCAGAUGUCAGCCCAAAUUAGGGGUUAGCAGGUUAAUGCCACCCAGCUUCUAAGAUUUCAGGGCCAAAUUAUGAGAACAGGGAGCAAUGCCUUAUGAUGUCAUGGGGUGAGUUCUUGUCACAUAGCAGACUGAGUGGAACUAUUUCUCCAUCAUUUGAUCCCAAUCAUCUUUGCAAUAAUCCCUCUGGAUAAGAGUGACUGACCCCCUGUGGUCUCCUACGAGAUCACAUUUGUGUUAUAAAGCAGAGGCAUUAAUUUACCUAUUGCCCAGUUUGCUCCUGUGGAAUUCUGGGAAAUAUAGGUUAGGGAAGCCGAGAACCUCUCUAGCUGAGAAUUACAAAGGACCUGUCCUAAACUACAUUUCCCAGAAUUCUGCAGGAGCAAACUAAUGUGAUGUUGUUAAUUGUAUAUACUGUACUAAUUGGCAGAAAUUGUGGAAACAGCAUGAGACAAUUCAAGUAAUUGGAUGCCAG
Molecule: long non-coding RNA, 1124 nt
Filed under: Anolis carolinensis (green anole)
Lineage: Eukaryota; Metazoa; Chordata; Lepidosauria; Squamata; Anolidae
Description: lncRNA (ENSACAG00000041736.1)
Source: RNAcentral